GUACACACCGCCCGUCGCUACUACCGAUUGAAUGGCUCGGUGAGGCCUUCGGACUGGCCCAGGGAGGUCGGCAACGACCACCCAGGGCCGGAAAGUUGGUCAAACCCGGUCAUUUAGAGGAAGUAAAAGUCGUAACAAGGUCUCCGUAGGUGAACCUGCGGAGGGAUCAUUA
This 172-nucleotide ribosomal RNA is filed under the name Cladosporium sinuosum. RNAcentral's name for it is "partial 18S ribosomal RNA". It matches the Rfam family "Eukaryotic small subunit ribosomal RNA", at positions 1662 to 1831 of the family's 1831-position model. Lineage: Eukaryota; Fungi; Ascomycota; Dothideomycetes; Cladosporiales; Cladosporiaceae. The record is from RNAcentral.